AAUCCCAAAAAGGGUAAUAAAAAAACAAUUGAAAGACGCAUGUCAUUCGUGACCGUACUACCGUAAAGGAGGCUCGUACGACAAGAAGCAUUGGAAAUUGGAAGUAGCAGCAGCAGCUAUGUAUAUCAUCAGAAGCGGCAAAUAUCAAUUGUUAAAUAUUAUUAUGAUUUUUAUUUAAUUAUUCUUUCUUUUCAGAUUUUAUCACUAUUUUUAUUUAAUUAAUCUUUGCUUUCAGAGUAAAUCUAUUUGUAUUUAAUAUAUCGGGUGAUUUUUUAAGAGCUUGAUAACUUUUUUUAAAAAAAAAACGCAUAAAAUUUGCAAAAUCUCAUCGGUUCUUUAUUUGGAACGUUAGAUUGGUUCAUGACAUUUACUUUUUGAAGAUAAUUUCAUUUAAAUGUUGACCGCGGCUGCGUCUUACGUGGUCCAUUCGGAAAGUCCAAUUUUGGGCAACUUUUUCGAGCAUUUCGGCCGGAAUAGCCCGAAUUUCUUCGGAAAUGUUGUCUUCCAAAGCUGGAAUAGUUGCUGGCUUAUUUCUGUAGACUUUAGACUUGACGUAGCCCCACAAAAAAUAGUCUAAAGGCGUUAAAUCGCAUGAUCUUGGUGGCCAACUGCCCAUGCAUCCCG
This is a long non-coding RNA of Bactrocera neohumeralis, 624 nucleotides long. RefSeq lists it as uncharacterized. The transcript has 3 exons. NCBI's taxonomy places the organism in Eukaryota, Metazoa, Arthropoda, Insecta, Diptera, Tephritidae. The record is from RefSeq and is a predicted model, not a curated record.